RNAcentral lists this long non-coding RNA (1358 nucleotides) under Elaeis guineensis (African oil palm). RNAcentral describes it as "long non-coding RNA (EGUI_LNC033841)". The record is from RNAcentral. Lineage: Eukaryota; Viridiplantae; Streptophyta; Magnoliopsida; Arecales; Arecaceae.
UUUCCUUCUCACCCUUCUUCGCUGGUUUCUUGUUUCGAAUGCUGGAACCAUCCCGGUCCGCCGCCAGUAUGGUUCAGUACGCCCCAAACCGGAUAAUUUAAGCCGGUUCUGCAAUCCUUGGAGCUUUCUUUCUAUAAUAGGACAGCAGAUACCUCUCCUUAAGCAACCUGUUCAUCUCUUCCUAAUGGACAUUAGGAGCUCAGCCUCAAAGAAUUUUCUGAUCUUCUAUGCCUCUCCACUAUCUGUAAGCUCAGCCUUUUAGUUUUGCUUUUGUAAAGCGUACUCGUAUCUAACCAAGCAUAUACUCCCAGUCAAAAUAAUCUUCUACAUCUGUGAUCUAAUCUAGAAACUCAUGAGGUUCAAGAUCUCCAGUGAUAUCUUCAUCAAGGACAUACUCAUAAGGGCAUUUUUGAGAGUCAUCGAUGCUGCAAGCAUCGGAUCAGGCCAUUACAAAAGAACAUGGUGAUGUGCCAAUAGAUCUGAUACCAAAUUGAUGUAGGACAGUCUAUGGAAGAAGACCUAUUAGGGAUUAGGCUAUGAAGAUUUGCUUUAAACUUCAAUUCAGACCUGAGUUUAGAUUAAAAUUGAACUAGGAGAGUAGGAAUUUCUCAAUGCAAAAUUGACAAUGGAUGCAGAGAUGGAUCUAGAACAUUAAACUAGGGCUCAAUUAGGGAACAAAUAGGAUUUGUAGGCUCUUAGGAAUAGACUUUUAAUGGGUAACUCUUCAUUGAGGAACCAGAGUUGGUUUUUUCAUGUUAUCUGAAUGGAUCUAAAGAAUAUUAAAUUAGGGGACUCAAUUAGGGAAUGAAGAGGAUCCGUAGGCUCUUAGGAAUAGAUCAAUGGGUAGCUGUUCAUUCAGGAACAGAUUUCAUUUUUUCAUGUUAAGUGAACCACCAAGAAAUUUUCUAGUCAAGUGCCAAUAGAUCUGAUACCAAAUUGAUGUAGGACAGUCUAUGGAAGAAGACCUAUUAGGGAUUAGGCUAUGAAGAUUUGCUUUAAACUUCAAUUCAGACCUGAGUUUAGAUUAAAAUUGAACUAGGAGAGUAGGAAUUUCUCAAUGCAAAAUUGACAAUGGAUGCAGAGAUGGAUCUAGAACAUUAAACUAGGGCUCAAUUAGGGAACAAAUAGGAUUUGUAGGCUCUUAGGAAUAGACUUUUAAUGGGUAACUCUUCAUUGAGGAACCAGAGUUGGUUUUUUCAUGUUAUCUGAAUGGAUCUAAAGAAUAUUAAAUUAGGGGACUCAAUUAGGGAAUGAAGAGGAUCCGUAGGCUCUUAGGAAUAGAUCAAUGGGUAGCUGUUCAUUCAGGAACAGAUUUCAUUUUUUCAUGUUAAGUGAACCACCAAGAAAUUUUCUAGUCA